Long non-coding RNA from Lolium rigidum, 3047 nucleotides. RefSeq lists it as uncharacterized. The record is from RefSeq and is a predicted model, not a curated record. The transcript is spliced from 3 exons. Lineage: Eukaryota; Viridiplantae; Streptophyta; Magnoliopsida; Poales; Poaceae.
UCAUCCUCUUGACCUCUUCCCCUCCUGAUUCCAGCCCCACCCGUCGACCCGGUUACCCUUGCCACCGACGUACGCCGCCCCGCUGCGGCGCUCCUCGACUCACGUCCCGCCUCCUCCCGUCGCAUCCAGGUGCUGCGCUGCACCUCUGCUGCUUGCUGCCGUCUCUCUUACCUCCCACCACUGCCUCUGAAUUGGUGAUCACGGUAUUGUUAGUGGAUGGGUCCGGCUGUGCACAAUGACAUCAUCAAUGGGCGAAGUGAGAUAAGGGAAUCAAUGGGGCUACAACUGUAUGGCUUCAGAUGACUGCAUCAUCCUGAGCAACUUCUCGUGUACGUUCUAUCCUCUCACAAAGUUCCGAUUUUUUCUUCUUCUUCUUUAUGUUAGUUCCUUGGGUCAAAAUCUGUUUGGUAUUACUAGAUUCACUCAAAUUUAGUUGUUUCCGUGAGUAAUUACAUUGUGCAGUUGCACUUUUAAUAAUUUUUAUAGGUUAUUAUAUACUUUAGAGCCCUAAUUUAGAUCGGUGGUACAAAAUCUUAAAUUUAGUCUACUUGAGCAAUUCCUAUUACUGAUUUUUUUCAUUUGAGAUCAUAAGAAGGUUACUUGAUGGAUGGAGGAUUUGUAACAAUACAUUCAUCAAAGCAAUGAUAACAUCAGUUUGUUCCGUAUCAAUUAACUUGAGCAAAGCAAAUAUUAUUCAGCUCAGUUCUAUGGUCUCAUCCAUGCUCAUUUGGUGGUUCCUAAAGUUUAUUAUUGGCUUUGGAAGUCCUGUUGCAUUAUGAAGACAAAGGUCUAUGCAUGGUUUCUUUUAAAGGAUCGAUUAAAUGCAAAUGACCUUCUGGUUCGCAGGAAUUGGAAGGUAGCUGAAGAUUCUCACUGUGUUCUUGGCCCUCUGAAAACGCAUGAAGAUAGAUUGCAUCUCUUUUUUGGGUGCAAUUUCAGUCAACUGGUACUAUUUGCAAGUGGACUGGAUACAAAAUGAUGAUCUGCAGAUUGUAGUGUCUCGCGCAAAGAGGAGCUUUCCCAAACCAUUCUUUAUGGAGCGCUAUGCAAAAAAAAAUCAGGCAUGAGCAGCCAUCGUUUUCUAGAUGGAAGUGUGGCUUUACUCAUGACAUGUCUCUGCUUAGGCAUAGACUUAAGGCAAACCAUGUGGUCGGUUUUCUUGCUUGGCUAGACUCCCUACCUUAAGCUACAUUUCUUCUUUUGUACAUACUUACGUCUUUUUACCUCUUCUCCUUUUGUAUAUAUGUACUCCUUUCCUUUGAAAUAAAAUUGUUGUGGGUUUUUUGCCUCACAGUUCACAGUAAAAAAAAAAUUAUUUAGGUAACUGCUCUUUGUGGGAAUGCAUCCUCCUUUUGCUACUCAAACUGAGGAAAUUAAGGCAAUUGCAGCACUGUACUGCAGAUGUUGAGUUCGGGGUAUCUCAUGAAAGUGUUUUACUCAUUGACACUCAGCCAGUAUGCAGUCCGUCCAUCCUACUUAUUACGAUGAGGCAUGGUGGUUCUUCCACACUUCCUGUUCUUAACGAUGAUCCAUUAUCAGAGACUUGGCCCAUGAUCUAAUGGGAAUCCAGGAAUUUCUAUACCUUGGUGUUUUCUUGGCGUCUAUCUGUAAUAUUUGUUGGUCGUGUUGGAAGGGUUCAAUGGUUUCACCACGUGGGAGCUCAUGCUUAUGGUAAGUUAUCUGCCUAUAAUUUUCUGUUUAUAGACACUCACUUCUUUCGAGAAUUAGGAUCAUUUCUUCAUCUGGCAGUGUGAAUUGCCAAUUCUAUUUAGAAAACCCUCUUUUAUUGAGCCUAUUCUAAUAAUAUGUGUAGAACAAUAGAACAUUACAUCCAUAGGUUCAUAAUUGAGUAGUGAGUAUAUGAGUUAUCAUAGAAAAUUAAGGCAACCAAAAGAAGCACUGAUCUUACUCUUCGAUUCCUAUAACCUUCUAAUUUUAGUACAGUAGAUUGAUAAUAUGCACAGGCAAUAUUUUCUUCAACAUUUAGUUUAUCUGUGUUAAUAUUUGCCAAUAUUGUUGAAAGCUGGAAUUUGCUUUGUAAUGUAUUUUUAAGGAUUGAUUUAAUGAAGGAUACCAUACUUCACCCAUAACUGCUGACCUCACCAUCAUCACCAGACAAAAAAAAUAAAAUGAUAAAAAAUCAGGCAGUGAAGAUUAUAUGGCCGAUCUAUUAUUUGUCCAUGCUAGGUGAGCGUUUUGAACAGCUAUACUUGCGUUAGGAGAGUGUAUUAUUCCUGUGAUUCAAAAAAAGAGUGUAUUAUUCCUGAUAUCAGAUGCUCAUUUCUAUUCCUAAUAAUAAAUAGAUCUUUUUGAAUUUCCUGUUGGUAAAGAAAUGAAUAGUUCUGCCAAAUGAGCAUAUGAGCACUUUCCACCAACUGCCAGUACAUUUCAAAAGGCAAUUCCGUACUGUCUGAAAAUAUAGUAUUCAGUGGUGAUCAGUUUAGCCGAAUAGGACAGUAGGUUCCAACUUGCGGUGAACUUCUGGUGAAUCACUGUACAUAUUAGAUCAUAGGGCCAUGUGCUUGAAAGUAAAUCAUAAGUAGAACAUGAGUUACCUAAAAUCAGAGUUAACUAACAGAAAAGACUGGGGCAACAAUAUAUGCAAAAUUGUUGAGCCUGUCUGUGCUAGAAUUAGUAUGUGUUCUGUUCACACAUCAGGGUAUACAGUACUAAAACUAAAGUUAAAUAUUCAGCCUUUAUGGAGUCAGUUCAUGUAUUUGUACUACCUCUGCUCACACUAGGCCAUAUGAUUAAAUAACCAGAGGGAGAGAAAAAUCAGCAUCCAUGUGUCCGCUCACACUUGGAAGAUGAUUAAAUAAUUAGAGGGACAGAUGACAUUGUUUGCUAAUAUUUACAUUUUUUGACUGGUUCUAUAUGAAAUAGAAUAUAGAAUUUAUGUGAAACCAUGAUUGAUAAAAUCAGGUUCAUGUCUGUACAAAUUAGUUGAUCCAGCAAAAUUUAUUCUUGGAAGUAGAUGAUAUUUUUUCCACAUCCUUUUGAAUGCAACAGCAAUAUAACAAUAAUGUGAUCUAUUAAUAGAUUUGCAU